RNAcentral lists this ribosomal RNA (507 nucleotides) under uncultured bacterium. RNAcentral's name for it is "partial 16S ribosomal RNA". It matches the Rfam family "Bacterial small subunit ribosomal RNA", at positions 29 to 507 of the family's 1533-position model. The record is from RNAcentral.
ACGCACGCUGGCGGCGUGCCUCAUCCCUGCCAGUCGAACGCUUCUUUCCUCCCGAGUGCUUGCACUCAAUUGGAAAGAGGAGUGGCGGACGGGUGAGUAACACGUGGGUAACCUACCCAUCAGAGGGGGAUAACACUUGGAAACAGGUGCUAAUACCGCAUAACAGUUUAUGCCGCAUGGCAUAAGAGUUAAAGGCGCUUUCGGGUGUCGCUGAUGGAUGGACCCGCGGUGCAUUAGCUAGUUGGUGAGGUAACGGCUCACCAAGGCCACGAUGCAUAGCCGACCUGAGAGGGUGAUCGGCCACACUGGGACUGAGACACGGCCCAGACUCCUACGGGAGGCAGCAGUAGGGAAUCUUCGGCAAUGGACGAAAGUCUGACCGAGCAACGCCGCGUGAGUGAAGAAGGUUUUCGGAUCGUAAAACUCUGUUGUUAGAGAAGAACAAGGACGUUAGUAACUGAACGUCCCCUGACGGUAUCUAACCAGAAAGCCACGGCUAACUACGUG